CGGGUGAGUAACGCGUGGAAAACCUGCCGUAUACUGGGGGAUAACACUUAGAAAUAGGUGCUAAUACCGCAUAAGCGCACAGCUUCGCAUGAAGUGGUGUGAAAAACUCUGGUGGUAUACGAUGGUUCCGCGUCUGAUUAGCUUGUUGGUGGGGUAAUGGCUCACCAAGGCGACGAUCAGUAGCCGGCCUGAGAGGGUGAACGGCCACAUUGGGACUGAGACACGGCCCAAACUCCUACGGGAGGCAGCAG
RNAcentral lists this ribosomal RNA (251 nucleotides) under uncultured bacterium. RNAcentral's name for it is "partial 16S ribosomal RNA". It matches the Rfam family "Bacterial small subunit ribosomal RNA", at positions 103 to 354 of the family's 1533-position model. The record is from RNAcentral.